This 902-nucleotide long non-coding RNA is filed under the name Cicer arietinum (chickpea). RNAcentral's name for it is "long non-coding RNA (CARI_LNC000932)". Lineage: Eukaryota; Viridiplantae; Streptophyta; Magnoliopsida; Fabales; Fabaceae. The record is from RNAcentral.
AAUGAUAAGAGUUAAACAAUUUUAAUGAGAUGACUAUCAAUAGGGACACCGUGGCCAAAACGCGAAAAAUACUAACAUAAAAUAGACACUUGACUUAGAUAAAGCCUUGCUCCAAAUGUUUGAUUACGACAUAAAAAGCCGCUAUAAACCUCAAGCAUUAAUGUGUUGAUCGAGGUAAAAAUAUCGUCAAUCAACUUGAGAAGGUCGAAAAUGGAUUUGCAGCUAAAAUAGAGAUAUCUUAUAAAAUAGACACUCAUAAUCUAACUUUCGAUGAAGUAAUUGAAGCACAUCUUAAUGAUCUCGUAGGGUUGAACAACGAGGAAUGUUUCGACAUCAACAUCAACAUCAAUCUAAUAAAUGAUGAUCUCAAAGAAUUCAUUAUAGGGACGUCUGAUGGAUUUCAAGGCUCUGAAACAAGUUCAAUGUCAAUAAUGCCAACAGAGUUCAAUGCUAAAUGUGCAGAUAUUUCCAACGACAUGUAAUUAAAAUAUUUGAGUGCAGGUUGGAUACUCGUGGAGGAAAAUAUGAUAAUCGUAUGUGUCAAUCGGAUUAGACUGAGCGACUAAAGAACAAAGGGAACAUUUACGUCCACCCAAAUAGGUGCUCAUAAACAGUGGAGUGCCAGUGAACAUAAUUGCAAGAACCAUAUUCAAAGGAGGGAUCAAAUUUAAUGACCAAUAAUCUGGCCAUAGUUGAUUUCUAUGGCUUCAGUUAAAUAAAAUAGAUUUAUAUGGCUUCAGUUAAAUAAAAUAGAUUUAUAUGGCAAAGCGUCCCUAAUAAAUGAAAUAGCCAUGUUAAAUUUGAAAGCAGACUUGUGAAAAGAAAAACUAGAGUGAUCUUUUAGAAGUUUCCUAAAAAGUAUAUGAGUGGUGACAAACACAUACUAAAGAGACUUGUAUUAG